GAGAGUUCAUAUCACAUACAAUUUAAAAACCCAAAUUUUUCAUUAAUAUACUUUUUCCAGAUUGAGAAUAAUUACAUCCAUCUGGAGAUCAAAUUAUAAAACGGAGACUUGUGCUGUAAGAAGGAAUCUUGUCACUCAAACCUUGUACAACUUUGUCUUUUAAAAAGAUUGCUAACACUGAUUUUAUAAUGCUCUGCUUCAUCCUUCUUCCAGACUGCUUUAUCCUUAAAGUUGUUCCAGAACACUCCUGGUGUACCCAAGGAGCACCUGAGACAGGAAUAUCUCAUGACCACAUAAUUUCACUGCUGAGACACUAACAAAGGAAAGGAUUAACAGGUACAGAAGAAAUAUACAUUAGGAAAGUGAGUACCCAGACAAACAGCCCAAUUGUCCCCACAGAUUCAGAAAAGUCCCAGAGACAUCCACUGCUUCACUGCUUUCCAAGCCCCACAAGCUCCAGAUGGGGCCCCUCUCCUCCAGAAGGUUAAUUCCAGAGAAGAAACCUCACAGAGCAACUGUAGACACUGUCAAGAGAAGCUUCUGGGCACACAAAAACAUCCUCCAAAUACUCCUUCCCCCUCCAAAGCUGUUUGACUGCAGCCUAGCUUCACCUCCACCUUAUGCCUUCAUUUCUCCUGCCUUUUCCCAUUACCUUUUCCCUUGUAGACAAAGUGACCUCUUCUUCACAAAAUCCAGCACGUUCCCCCAAAGUGGGGAAUUAAAAGGGCCUCAUGCUGCUCCCUGAGGGCAUCUUCCACCCACCCUGACUGUGCUCCCUUUCCUUUUUCCCCUGGGAUAUCUCUGAAGACAAGAGACACCUACGGCUCCACGUUCAUGCAGCCAAGGAUGCCUGUGUUGACCUCAAAUGCCCUACAGUAAUAAACACAAUUCAUGACAGCUCCUACUUUCAAAGCUCAAGGAAACAUCCCUUUGCAUUUUAAUGACACUGAUUAAGCGCCUCUAGAAUACGAAACCAGAAAACUUCAAACCAUUUGUGCUUAAGCCCAUUUAAAAUAAUCAAUACUUUAAGGCCAUUCCCUAACACCAAACUUGCAGCCUCUUCCAUCUCAGAAUCAUAGAACAGUCACCCAGAAAUCAUAGGAUAAGCUGAGAAUGAGGGAUAUACUGAAAAUAUUCUAGUUCAAAACUCAUUUUUUAUGCCUUCAUGGAUGUGAUACUCUCUAAAGGCCACAUCUUCACGGUCUUUACCAUAGACAGAAGGCCUGGCUCUUUAAGGGAAAAUGAGGAUUUCCUUUGAAUGCAUGCCUUCAGGAAUUGCAAGAUCAAGGGAAAAAUGAAAGCAAAUGCAAAACAUCAAGUAUCAGAAGAGUCAUGAUUAGAGAAGAAGGAUGAGCUGACAAUGAGGACAGAAGGUCAGUUCAUUAGGGAAGCUCUGAUAUAAAACACGGGAUUUUUUCUUCAAGAAAACCAGGAAAAUAGCAGCUUCAAUUAAACUACAUAUUAUUUUGGGUGUUUAAAAAGAGAUGCCCAUAUUUAAGAAGUGGUUAAAGUAUAUAAAUGGCUAAUCACACAAGCGACAUUAUUCCCUGCCACUUCUUCUGCUCUGCAAUAUUGUUACUUGGCCAAAUACCACCCUAGUAAAACCUCUUUCCACCACUGCAUACCACAAGAGGUUGGACACACAGAAGUGUUUCUCAUCUCUGCUACCCAGAACACAGACCUUCGAAAAGCUCAGUGCAGACCCAAAGCUAGAAAUGGGCUGGCAGAACUUGCACUCCACCACCGAGCCAGCUUUGAAAUCAGCUGAAAUUUCCACGCCCUUCAAGCCUUUUAGAUGAGCUGAUGGAGGACAGUGGCAGUGGGAAAGAAUGACAAGUAGAUAACUAAAAUGCCUGGAAAGUUGUCCCACAUUCCAUACACACUGGGAGAAAAUAUGAAAUACCACUUUCAGCACGGACAUAAUUCAGCUUUGACAAUCCUCUAAACAGGGUUUCCCAGGGAAAACCAUCUCUGGGUCCCUCCAGCUGUGUCUCUGUUGGUGACAUUUCCUUGGUGGUUUCCAAGUUACCCCUCCACUACCCACAUCCCCGAGCCCAGCAGCAUCUGAGCAGCUCUUUGCUUGGAGGACACCCUACAAACCCUUUGUACAAAGCAGGAAGGACUGGUGGCUCUGAAACCCUGCUCACAUCUUUCCCUGUGGACAGUGCCCUAGGAAAAGGACUACUUGGGGAAGAAAAGGGGCCACAUGGCACUGCAUGUUUUGAUGCUAAUGAGCAGGACUAGUCCCUGCAAUAAAUCCACAUCUAAAGGCUGCACCUCUGAAUAAGGACAUUUUAGGGAUACGAGGAUGUUAACAGGAUAUGGCACCAAUGAUUUAAGACAGUGAGUGCCUCCUUUGAGCUGAGUGUCCCUGCCUUGGCAGAGAGAUGAUGGUAUGCUGGAAAUAUUAAACUAGCAACCUCCGUGGAGAUGCAUAGCUGCAAGUAAGAACAGAAUUUGAAACCCUGUCGUCAGGAUAAGUCAUCAAACAGAUCCUCCUAAACAGCAGCCAAAUAUAUAUCCGCAUCUACUGUUGUAGGUGUUAAUGGAACAGCUCCCAAAUAUGAAUGCUGAAAUAACAUCCUGAUCUCCUGUAACCAGAGCUAAGAGGAUUUGCCAUUGAUAUACCAGCUCUGAGCUGGAUUUACUUCAAAAUUUUCAAAAGCCCCUGCGAUGGUAUAAAGCACGUUUUUGUGUCGAAGGAAUCCGGAGGAGUGCUUCACAUGGAGCACUGGGCAAUACGUAAUGAAUUCCACACUCCAGCUUUGUCCCCAGAGAAGGCUUCCACAGAUUCCACAAUGGAACAAGAGGUUUAUUGAACGGGACAAUGUGAGACGAAAUCUAUUUUACAACUUCAAGCAAGCUUCUGUCCACAGAGGACGAACAAAAUUUGUUGCUGAAAAGAAAACUAAUACUAAGCAAAAGAGCCUAGAUAAAAAAGCAAGAAAAUGUCACCUUUUGUAGCUCUUCACCCAGGAGCAGAAAAGAGUGAAUGUUCAGGAGGUCUGUGUGAAGAGACAGCUUGUUGGAGGUCACACCUGAAGAGUGGAGGUGGAGGACAAGGACUGUCCUAACUGUGAGAGGGAGAAAGUCCUGCCAGCUUCAGGGAAACAGCUCAAGGAGAAGCAAAACAGGGACAGAGGAAGAGCACAUGCGCAAAGGAGAUGGACUCCCUAGAACAACAUAGCAUACUAAUUCAUUCUGAUCUUGCUAUUUAGUACCUGCAAAGUCUACCAUUAUGCAUUAUUAAAUUCAUGUAUUAUUGAACCACAAUCCUUGUUGCCUGGUAAGAAAUGUGGAUGAUUUCUUAACUUAAAUUAAAGCACUGCUUCCCUUAUUUGAAUAAAACUGCAUUACUGGCUGCCUCUCAUGGUAAUCAGAAAACUGCAUUAGGCAGGUAGUACUGUAUGAAUUAAAAAAUAAUGAAACAAGACUUUUCAGUCA
Taeniopygia guttata (zebra finch) is the source of this 3444-nucleotide non-coding RNA. Lineage: Eukaryota; Metazoa; Chordata; Aves; Passeriformes; Estrildidae. The record is from RefSeq and is a predicted model, not a curated record.